UUAACGCUGAGGUGUGAUGACGAGCCACUACGGUGGUGAAGUAACUGAUGCCCUGCUUCCAGGAAAAGCCUCUAAGCUCCAGGUAACACGAAAUCGUACCCCAAACCGACACAGGUGGUCAGGUAGAGAAUACCAAGGCGCUUGAGAGAACUCGGGUGAAGGAACUAGGCAAAAUGGUGCCGUAACUUCGGGAGAAGGCACGCUG
RNAcentral lists this ribosomal RNA (205 nucleotides) under Pantoea sp. S61. RNAcentral's name for it is "partial 23S ribosomal RNA". It matches the Rfam family "Bacterial large subunit ribosomal RNA", at positions 1550 to 1753 of the family's 2925-position model. The record is from RNAcentral. Lineage: Bacteria; Pseudomonadati; Pseudomonadota; Gammaproteobacteria; Enterobacterales; Erwiniaceae.